Molecule: ribosomal RNA, 253 nt
Filed under: uncultured bacterium
Lineage: Bacteria
Description: partial 16S ribosomal RNA
Rfam family: Bacterial small subunit ribosomal RNA
Source: RNAcentral
GACGGGGGAGGCAAGCGUUAUCCGGAAUCACUGGGCGUAAAGCGUCUGUAGGUGGUGAUGCAAGCCACUGGUGCAAAGCUCUGGCUCAACCGGAGGAAAGCCAGUGAAACUGCAUGACUAGAGUGUGGGAGAGGUAGAAGGAAUUCCCUGAGUAGCGGUGAAAUGCGUAGAUACAGGGAAGAACACCGGAGGCGAAAGCGUUCUACUGGAACACAACUGACACUGAGAGACGAAAGCUAGGGGAGCGAAUGGG